Molecule: ribosomal RNA, 803 nt
Filed under: uncultured bacterium
Lineage: Bacteria
Description: bacterial SSU rRNA
Rfam family: Bacterial small subunit ribosomal RNA
Source: RNAcentral
CCGGCGCACGGGUGCGUAACACGUAUGCAACCUACCUUUAACUGGGGUAUAGCUCAGAGAAAUCUGAAUUAAUCCCCCAUAACACUACGACAUGGCAUCAUGAUGUAGUUAAAGCUCCGGCGGUUAAAGAUGGGCAUGCGGUACAUUAGCUAGUUGGUGAGGUAAUGGCUCACCAAGGCUACGAUGUAUAGGGGGUCUGAGAGGAUGAUCCCCCACACUGGUACUGAGACACGGACCAGACUCCUACGGGAGGCAGCAGUAGGGAAUAUUGGUCAAUGGACGAAAGUCUGAACCAGCCAUGCCGCGUGAAGGAUGAAGGCCCUCUGGGUCGUAAACUUCUUUUAUUAGGGAAGAAACCUCAGGAUGCGUCUGAGCUGACGGUACUUAAUGAGUAAGGAUCGGCUAACUUCGUGCCAGCAGCCGCGGUAAGACGAAGGAUCCAAGCGUUGUCCGGAUUUACUGGGUUUAAAGGGUGCGUAGGCGGAAAAUUAAGUCAGUGGUGAAAGCCCGCAGCUCAACUGUGGAACUGCCAUUGAAACUGGUUUUCUUGAAUAUAGCUGAGGCAGAUGGAAUAUAACAUGUAGCGGUGAAAUGCUUAGAUAUGUUAUAGAACACCGAUUGCGAAGGCAGUCUGCUAAACUAUUAUUGACGCUGAGGCACGAAAGCGUGGGGAGCGAACAGGAUUAGAUACCCUGGUAGUCCACGCCCUAAACGUUGAUUACUCGCUGUUGGCGAUAUACUGUCAGUGGCUAAGCGAAAGCAUUAAGUAAUCCACCUGGGGAAGUACGACCGCAAGGUUGAAA